This 252-nucleotide ribosomal RNA is filed under the name Megamonas funiformis YIT 11815. RNAcentral describes it as "partial 16S ribosomal RNA". It matches the Rfam family "Bacterial small subunit ribosomal RNA", at positions 524 to 776 of the family's 1533-position model. The record is from RNAcentral. Lineage: Bacteria; Bacillati; Bacillota; Negativicutes; Selenomonadales; Selenomonadaceae.
UACGUAGGCGGCAAGCGUUGUCCGGAAUUAUUGGGCGUAAAGGGAGCGCAGGCGGGAAACUAAGCGGAUCUUAAAAGUGCGGGGCUCAACCCCGUGAUGGGGUCCGAACUGGUUUUCUUGAGUGCAGGAGAGGAAAGCGGAAUUCCCAGUGUAGCGGUGAAAUGCGUAGAUAUUGGGAAGAACACCAGUGGCGAAGGCGGCUUUCUGGACUGUAACUGACGCUGAGGCUCGAAAGCUAGGGUAGCAAACGGG